CUUUGUGAAGCUAUUACAGAAAGAGCUCCAAACCCCACCAUAAACACUCCUUGAAAGUCUUGAUUCAGCUUUAUGCAAUGGUGUUGUAGUUACGGAAUAACUUACGUUGGCAGGGAUCUCGGGACAUGGUCUGUUCAUAGCCCCUGCUCAGGGUCAGGUUAACUUCAAUGUUAGAUCAAGUUGCCCAGGGCCUUAUCUAAUUAAGAUGUGAAUCUCUCUGAGGAUGGACACUCCACAGCCACUCUGGGCAACUCAUCCCAGUUCAUCCUCAUAAAAAUUGUUUUUCUUAGUACCCAGUCAUAAUUUUGCUUGAAGCAGUGUCUCUUGGUGUCUGUUGUUUCUUGUCCUUUCAUUGUGCUCCUCAGAGAAGAGUCUGACUCUGUCUUCUCUAUAACCACCCAUUAGAUAUUUGAAGACAGAAAUGAGAUCCUCUUUUAGCUUUCUUUUUUGCCAGACUAACAAACUUAGUUCUCUCGGUCUGUGCUUGUCCAUCAUGCACUCCAAUUCCUUAUGCUCUUAUAGAAAUGAUGGAACUUCAGGGAAAAGCAUCACACUAAACUGAACCAAGAGUUCACUGUCCUGCCUCUGAUCAAUAAACAAGACAGGUGUGAAACCCUAUACCAGGAAAUGAUGCAGUAACAUAUAAGUGGAUGAAACAAGUUACUUGGGACCUGGGGAUAUGUUCUUACUCCUAAAUAUAGGAAGUAAUUAUAAGCAUGUCUGUUAUUAGCAAUUUAAGAUGUCAGGUGAAUGCCAUUAGCAUUUCAGGUUUCAGUUGCGAACAUAAUACUAUUCUGGGAGCCUUUGUUGAUUUCAGUAGAUUCUGUAUAGACACAGGGUCUGUCUUACCCAUUGCACAAGUAACGCCGUAAGUAUUUAGCUCUGAAAUGUUUUCUGUAGCUAACAAUGGCUGUUUUGUUUUACACACACACGCACAUGCACGUAUAGUUUUGUAUAGUUUUGAAUAUUCUGAUAUGCUAUAAUGCAAAGGUAUGUUUUCAAGCUAAAAAUCUAAGAAGAGAAAAGUUAUUUUAAAAAAUUGGAUGUAAGCAAAAAGAAUUUUGUGGUGUCUAGAAAGCUUCUGAAGAAUAGCUGGGAUUCUUUUUAGAGCUGCUCUGUGGUUGUGUGCAUAGGGAAGCACGUACAUCAUCUUAGAUUUAAAGCAGUUAUCUAUAAGACAAUUAAAGGAGCACAUAGAUUGCUUGAAAGCUUGUCUGGCUUAUAUUUAAUUGUUCCAAAAUUCUGGGAGACCUGCAGCUCAAGGACACCAUCUCAUUGUAAAGAAAACCAGAAGUGAACUUGCUUCUCUACAUCAAGCGUGAUUUUUCCAGUCAGGGUCUUCAUGAAGGAGAAUCAUAAAUCUGGAAAAUUAUAAGAUCUUUCCCCAUCAAGGUCAAGCCACAAAUCUAAGUCACCAGGUCUCUUGCUUGGUAUGUAUGUUUUCUGUUUCUUAGAGCUAAACUUCCAAGAAGCGACCCUUUAAAUGCUAUCCACAGUAAUUUUAGCAGCAAGUGUGAAUUUUACCCUCUCUGUGGUAUGAGUUACUUAAAACAAAUGCCUGAUAAAAGACCUUCUUGCAACAGACAGAGGGAACAUGUAAAGGAACCUGUUAGCCUGAUAAUCUCUCCAUUUGAAAAUUUCAACUAUUUUGCCACUUCAUACAUCUACGUUCAUGUAUACAUUUGUAUAUAUACCUACACGCACACACUCAUGAUACUAUUUCAGUGCACCUUUUCUCCUUGGGACUUCCCAAAUGCUGCAGAACAGAGAGAGGAGAAUACAACAACCUGAUGUCUAGGAGAAGUCAAAUGUAAUGAAGCACAUUAUACCAGUGCUCAUGCUUUCUCUGCUGAAAUUAUCAUCAGCAACUUGCUUUUAUCUGCAGUGCUCUGAGUGAACACCUCUUCUCACUUCAUGAUCUACUUUUUCUUUUCUGCUCUUCUCCUUCCUCUUCCCUCCCACACGCAUUUGCACUGUUCAGCUAGAACAUCUGAAUUCUGCAGUUCUGUGCACCUGCAUGGAGCUGGACUAAUCAAAGCAUAUUUCCCUAGACAGUUGUAUGAUUAGGGCACAUCCAGUGAAGCCAGAAAGGCUCUAGCAAGGCCUGUCUCCAGCUUAGGAGAAGAACAACAUAGAUCUCUAUAAUACUAAUAUAAUACAUCUUCCAAAGUUGAAAAUCUGCAAAAUAUACUUACGAAUGCUGCAGAAAUGACCAUAAAGCAACAGCUAGAGUCACAGUUUCUAACUAUAGAAAACCUAACCUCGCACCUCAUUAACUGUGGAGGGGAGGAGGGAGUUACUAGCAACUGUGUAUAGCAUAGGUAGGACGAAUGUAUGUUUAAGCUGCAAGCCACAACACACCAAGACAUAACACACAUUCCACCCACUGUACCGCUGACAGAGUGGCAUUAAGAAGGGCUAUUUAAUGGAGUAUUUUCUCCUAUACAGCAUGUUGUUCAACUCCUUUCUUGUCAACUGAAAGCCAUCCACAAGCUAAAACAGCAGCCCCAGGCCACGGAGAGAGAGAUUGAGAGAGAGAGAUGUGCUUUCAGCACUUUGACUGGACAGAACUUCAAAUUUCUGCACACUUCUGCAACCUCACCAUUGCCCCAGAGCAGGUUUAGUUGGUUUUGCAGAACCUGGGAGUCAAUGUCACUUAUGCUUCUGUUCAGUGCAAGUCUUAAAUCAUCAGAUAUAUCUUGACAAGAGCUAAGAAACCAGCUUAUCAAUUUAGAAGAACCUGAGGCAAGUGACUGAAAAAGUUGUGCUGAAUCUCUAAAGCAGUACUUGGUUGAGAAUUUGGGUAGCGUUUGCCUGUCACUGUUCUUUUUUUACUUCCAGUAAGAAGGGGCUGGCUCCUGUGGCACAUAAAAAUACACAGCCAAACUGGUGAUGAGUUCUGUGUCUCUGAAGUACAAAAUGAAAUCUGAGAUAUUAGUGAGAUCCUCCAUGUCCCAAAGAUAUCAGUUUUUUCAUCAAACCAGGCCAAGUUUUACAAUGGCAGUUUCUUGACAAGCCACUGAGGAAGAAGUAAUGCCUGCCACAUGUUUAUCUUUGGAGACAUCCGUCUAACUCAUUUGGACAUCCCUAGAGAGAAAAAUCAUGUCAGAGCACGGAGAAGUGUAGGAGAUGGGCUAUCAGAAGAUGACCAACAGCAUCACUGUAAGCAGACCAGCCUUCUAGGCUUCUGGGCUGGUGUUACUGUUGCUUAGACUCAUGUUCUCUCUGGCCUUCGGUAAAUAUGGCACUGCUGUGACUGUCUCCAUGGUGCAGGACACUGUGCUCUAUAUUCAUCAGAUGGGACACUUCAGCACUAUGGUUUUGUCCAGGAAUAACAGGGAAGAAGAUACCAGCAUUGAAGAUAGUAUAUGACUGUAGUCCAGAUUCAACUUGCAACAACUUCCCGAUGAUGAAGUUAUUGUAUAUCAAAGCUAGGGUCUCUGAAGACUGACUGAUGCCACUAUGUCGGUUUUGUUCUGAACACAUCUAUAAUAUAACUAUUAUUACAACCAGUUGUUAUACAGAUAUGUUAUAUAAUGUAAGAUAAGAUUUUGGUCUGUGUUAUAGGACUUCACUUGAACUUGCACCCGAGGAAGCUGGUUUUAAUCUUCUGGAGAGUCUGAUUCACUAAUUUCAUAUGUGGAUUACUAUGUAAAUUUGUGCAACUUUACAGUGUGAUGUUUAGGAAGUCUCUAAAGGACUUAUGAUAUGAAUGAACAAUAAAUGCAAAUAGACUCUU
This is a long non-coding RNA of Dromaius novaehollandiae (emu), 3739 nucleotides long. RefSeq lists it as uncharacterized. The transcript has 4 exons. NCBI's taxonomy places the organism in Eukaryota, Metazoa, Chordata, Aves, Casuariiformes, Dromaiidae. The record is from RefSeq and is a predicted model, not a curated record.